CCGUGUACGUACAAGCAGUGGGAGCCUCUUUAUGGGGUGACUGCGUACCUUUUGUAUAAUGGGUCAGCGACUUAUAUUCUGUAGCAAGGUUAACCGAAUAGGGGAGCCGAAGGGAAACCGAGUCUUAACUGGGCGUUAAGUUGCAGGGUAUAGACCCGAAACCCGGUGAUCUAGCCAUGGGCAGGUUGAAGGUUGGGUAACACUAACUGGAGGACCGAACCGACUAAUGUUGAAAAAUUAGCGGAUGACUUGUGGCUGGGGGUGAAAGGCCAAUCAAACCGGGAGAUAGCUGGUUCUCCCCGAAAGCUAUUUAGGUAGCGCCUCGUGAAUUCAUCUCCGGGGGUAGAGCACUGUUUCGGCAAGGGGGUCAUCCCGACUUACCAACCCGAUGCAAACUGCGAAUACCGGAGAAUGUUAUCACGGGAGACACACGGCGGGUGCUAACGUCCGUCGUGAAGAGGGAAACAACCCAGACCGCCAGCUAAGGUCCCAAAGUCAUGGUUAAGUGGGAAACGAUGUGGGAAGGCCCAGACAGCCAGGAUGUUGGCUUAGAAGCAGCCAUCAUUUAAAGAAAGCGUAAUAGCUCACUGGUCGAGUCGGCCUGCGCGGAAGAUGUAACGGGGCUAAACCAUGCACCGAAGCUGCGGCAGCGACGCUUAUGCGUUGUUGGGUAGGGGAGCGUUCUGUAAGCCUGCGAAGGUGUGCUGUGAGGCAUGCUGGAGGUAUCAGAAGUGCGAAUGCUGACAUAAGUAACGAUAAAGCGGGUGAAAAGCCCGCUCGCCGGAAGACCAAGGGUUCCUGUCCAACGUUAAUCGGGGCAGGGUGAGUCGACCCCUAAGGCGAGGCCGAAAGGCGUAGUCGAUGGGAAACAGGUUAAUAUUCCUGUACUUGGUGUUACUGCGAAGGGGGGACGGAGAAGGCUAUGUUGGCCGGGCGACGGUUGUCCCGGUUUAAGCGUGUAGGCUGGUUUUCCAGGCAAAUCCGGAAAAUCAAGGCUGAGGCGUGAUGACGAGGCACUACGGUGCUGAAGCAACAAAUGCCCUGCUUCCAGGAAAAGCCUCUAAGCAUCAGGUAACAUCAAAUCGUACCCCAAACCGACACAGGUGGUCAGGUAGAGAAUACCAAGGCGCUUGAGAGAACUCGGGUGAAGGAACUAGGCAAAAUGGUGCCGUAACU
RNAcentral lists this ribosomal RNA (1176 nucleotides) under Escherichia coli. Its description in RNAcentral is "partial 23S ribosomal RNA". It matches the Rfam family "Bacterial large subunit ribosomal RNA", at positions 556 to 1735 of the family's 2925-position model. Lineage: Bacteria; Pseudomonadati; Pseudomonadota; Gammaproteobacteria; Enterobacterales; Enterobacteriaceae. The record is from RNAcentral.